RNAcentral lists this ribosomal RNA (253 nucleotides) under uncultured bacterium. RNAcentral describes it as "partial 16S ribosomal RNA". It matches the Rfam family "Bacterial small subunit ribosomal RNA", at positions 524 to 776 of the family's 1533-position model. The record is from RNAcentral.
UACAGAGGGGGCAAGCGUUGUCCGGAAUCAUUGGGCGUAAAGAGCGUGUAGGCGGCUUGGUAAGUCCGCUGUGAAAGUCCAGGGCUCAACCCUGGAAAGCCGGUGGAAACUGUCAAGCUUGAGUCCGGAAGAGGCGAGUGGAAUUCCUGGUGUAGCGGUGAAAUGCGCAGAUAUCAGGAGGAACACCAAUGGCGAAGGCAGCUCGCUGGGACGGUACUGACGCUGAGACGCGAAAGCGUGGGGAGCAAACAGG